UAGGGAAUCUUCGGCAAUGGACGAAAGUCUGACCGAGCAACGCCGCGUGAGUGAAGAAGGUUUUCGGAUCGUAAAACUCUGUUGCUAGAGAAGAACAAGGACGUUAGUAACUGAACGUCCCCUGACGGUACCUAACCAGAAAGCCACGGCUAACUACGUGCCAGCAGCCGCGGUAAUACGUAGGUGGCAAGCGUUGUCCGGAAUUAUUGGGCGUAAAGCGAGCGCAGGCGGUUUCUUAAGUCUGAUGUGAAAGCCCACGGCUCAACCGGGGAGGGUCAUUGGAAGCUGGGAGACUUGAGUGCAGAAGAGGAGAGGGGAAUUCCGUGUGUAGCGGUGAAAUGCGUAGAUAUAUGGAAGAACACCAGUGGCGAAGGCGGCUCUCUGGUCUGAAACUGACGCUGAGGCUCGAAAGCGUGGGGAGCAAACAGG
This 429-nucleotide ribosomal RNA is filed under the name Gemmatimonadota bacterium. RNAcentral describes it as "Gemmatimonadetes bacterium partial 16S ribosomal RNA". It matches the Rfam family "Bacterial small subunit ribosomal RNA", at positions 355 to 776 of the family's 1533-position model. Lineage: Bacteria; Pseudomonadati; Gemmatimonadota. The record is from RNAcentral.